GGCUUGCUGGUCUAGUGGUAUGAUUCUCGCUUAGGGUGCGAGAGGUCCCGGGUUCGAUUCCCGUGCAAGCCC
Molecule: transfer RNA, 72 nt
Filed under: Dendronephthya gigantea
Lineage: Eukaryota; Metazoa; Cnidaria; Anthozoa; Malacalcyonacea; Nephtheidae
Description: tRNA-Pro
Rfam family: tRNA
About the family: Transfer RNA (tRNA) molecules are approximately 80 nucleotides in length.
Source: RNAcentral